Molecule: ribosomal RNA, 697 nt
Filed under: Neobacillus bataviensis
Lineage: Bacteria; Bacillati; Bacillota; Bacilli; Caryophanales; Bacillaceae
Description: bacterial SSU rRNA
Rfam family: Bacterial small subunit ribosomal RNA
Source: RNAcentral
AAGUCAGCGGCGGACGGGUGAGUAACACGUGGGCAACCUGCCUGUAAGACUGGGAUAACUUCGGGAAACCGGAGCUAAUACCGGAUAAUCCUUUUCCUUUCAUGAGGAAAAGCUGAAAGACGGUUUCGGCUGUCACUUACAGAUGGGCCCGCGGCGCAUUAGCUAGUUGGUGAGGUAACGGCUCACCAAGGCGACGAUGCGUAGCCGACCUGAGAGGGUGAUCGGCCACACUGGGACUGAGACACGGCCCAGACUCCUACGGGAGGCAGCAGUAGGGAAUCUUCCGCAAUGGACGAAAGUCUGACGGAGCAACGCCGCGUGAGUGAUGAAGGCCUUCGGGUCGUAAAGCUCUGUUGUUAGGGAAGAACAAGUAUCGGAGUAACUGCCGGUACCUUGACGGUACCUAACCAGAAAGCCACGGCUAACUACGUGCCAGCAGCCGCGGUAAUACGUAGGUGGCAAGCGUUGUCCGGAAUUAUUGGGCGUAAAGCGCGCGCAGGCGGUCCUUUAAGUCUGAUGUGAAAGCCCACGGCUCAACCGUGGAGGGUCAUUGGAAACUGGGGGACUUGAGUGCAGAAGAGGAGAGCGGAAUUCCACGUGUAGCGGUGAAAUGCGUAGAGAUGUGGAGGAACACCAGUGGCGAAGGCGGCUCUCUGGUCUGUAACUGACGCUGAGGCGCGAAAGCGUGGGGAGCAAA